UUUCCGUAGGUGAACCUGCGGAAGGAUCAUUAAAGAGGGCGUGUGGGCUUAACAUCCCUGCGAACCCCAACCCUUUGUUUACUGCCCCCUUGUGGUUUUACUUGGGCGCGGUUCUUCAGGCUAAAAUGCAACACUUUUGGUCUGAGGCCUCGCCCAGAAGGAUGCCACAAUUUAAAAUUCUAGUAAAUAUAUGAUGUCUGAAAAAAAUAUUUUAAAAUAAGCAAAACUUUCAACAACGGAUCUCUUGGUUCCGGCAUCGAUGAAGAACGCAGCGAAAUGCGAUAAGUAAUGUGGACCGCAGUACUCAGCGACUCAUCGAAUCUUUGAACGCAUAUUGCGCCCCUUGGUAUCCCAAGGGGCACACCUGUCCGAGCGUCAUUAUACAUCUCAUCUAGCCUGGCUUGCUAAGUCUUGCCGGGCUUGGUUUUGGGCUCCAUCUGCUUAACGUAGAGGUCUAAAAGUCAGUGGCGGAUCAAUUAGGCGUUCCAGCGUAGUGAUUAUACCAGCUGUAGAAACGUCUUUUGUAUACUGUCAAUACUUAAUGAAGUUUCAGAGUUUUUGCUGGUUGAAAAAGCCUGAUGGGCUUUUUUCCUGGCGGGAAUUUGGGAUUUCCCGAAUUAUUGACCUCGGAUCAGGUGAGGAUACCCGCUGAAUUUAA
This 658-nucleotide unclassified non-coding RNA is filed under the name Peltigera neckeri. RNAcentral's name for it is "sequence contains ITS1, 5.8S rRNA gene and ITS2". The stretch from base 225 to 378 matches the Rfam family "5.8S ribosomal RNA". The record is from RNAcentral. Lineage: Eukaryota; Fungi; Ascomycota; Lecanoromycetes; Peltigerales; Peltigeraceae.